AGCGGCGGACGGGUGAGUAACGCGUGGGUAACCUGCCUCAUACAGGGGGAUAACAGUUGGAAACGGCUGCUAAUACCGCAUAAGCGCCCAGUACCGCAUGGUACCGUGUGAAAAACUCCGGUGGUAUGAGAUGGACCCGCGUCUGAUUAGCUAGUUGGUGGGGUAACGGCCUACCAAGGCGACGAUCAGUAGCCGACCUGAGAGGGUGACCGGCCACAUUGGGACUGAGACACGGCCCAA
RNAcentral lists this ribosomal RNA (240 nucleotides) under uncultured bacterium. RNAcentral's name for it is "partial 16S ribosomal RNA". It matches the Rfam family "Bacterial small subunit ribosomal RNA", at positions 94 to 334 of the family's 1533-position model. The record is from RNAcentral.